AUUGAACGCUGGCGGCAUGCCUUACACAUGCAAGUCGAACGGUAGACCCUUUCGGGGGAUGAGAGUGGCGAACGGGUGAGUAAUGCAUCGGAACGUGCCUAGUCGUGGGGGAUAACGUAGCGAAAGUUACGCUAAUACCGCAUACGCACUGAGGUGGAAAGCGGGGGACCGUAAGGCCUCGCGCGAUUGGAGCGGCCGAUGUCGGAUUAGCUAGUUGGUGAGGUAAAGGCUCACCAAGGCGACGAUCCGUAGCGGGUCUGAGAGGAUGAUCCGCCACACUGGGACUGAGACACGGCCCAGACUCCUACGGGAGGCAGCAGUGGGGAAUUUUGGACAAUGGGCGCAAGCCUGAUCCAGCCAUGCCGCGUGCGGGAAGAAGGCCUCGGUUGUAAACCGCUUUCGGACAGAAGAAAUACGCAUGGACUAAUACUACUGUGUUGGAGUGACGGUACUGUAAGAAGAAG
RNAcentral lists this ribosomal RNA (464 nucleotides) under uncultured bacterium. Its description in RNAcentral is "bacterial SSU rRNA". It matches the Rfam family "Bacterial small subunit ribosomal RNA", at positions 29 to 490 of the family's 1533-position model. The record is from RNAcentral.